Molecule: ribosomal RNA, 375 nt
Filed under: uncultured bacterium
Lineage: Bacteria
Description: bacterial SSU rRNA
Rfam family: Bacterial small subunit ribosomal RNA
Source: RNAcentral
UACGGAGGGUGCAAGCGUUAAUCGGAAUUACUGGGCGUAAAGCGCACGCAGGCGGUCUGUCAAGUCGGAUGUGAGAUCCCCGGGCUCAACCUGGGAACUGCAUUCGAAACUGGCAGGCUAGAGUCUUGUAGAGGGGGGUAGAAUUCCAGGUGUAGCGGUGAAAUGCGUAGAGAUCUGGGGGAAUACCGGUGGCGAAGGCGGCCCCCUGGACAAAGACUGACGCUCAGGUGCGAAAGCGUGGGGAGCAAACAGGAUUAGAUACCCUGGUAGUCCACGCUGUAAACGAUGUCGAUUUGGAGGUUGUGCCCUUGAGGCGUGGCUUCCGGAGCUAACGCGUUAAAUCGACCGCCUGGGGAGUACGGCCGCAAGGUUAAA